AUGAACGCUGGCGGCGUGCUUAACACAUGCAAGUCGAACGGAAAGGCCCAAGCUUGCUUGGGUACUCGAGUGGCGAACGGGUGAGUAACACGUGGGUGAUCUGCCCUGCACUUCGGGAUAAGCCUGGGAAACUGGGUCUAAUACCGGAUAGGACCACUUCUUGGAUGUUGUGGUGGAAAGUUUUUUCGGUGUGGGAUGAGCUCGCGGCCUAUCAGCUUGUUGGUGGGGUAAUGGGCUACCAAGGCGUCGACGGGUAGCCGGCCUGAGAGGGUGUACGGCCACAUUGGGACUGAGAUACGGCCCAGACUCCUACGGGAGGCAGCAGUGGGGAAUAUUGCACAAUGGGCGCAAGCCGGAUGCAGCGACGCCGCGUGGGGGAUGACGGCCUUCGGGUUGUAAACUCCUUUCGCUAGGGACGAAGCGUUUUGUGACGGUACCUGGAGAAGAAGCACCGGCUAACUACGUG
Molecule: ribosomal RNA, 466 nt
Filed under: uncultured bacterium
Lineage: Bacteria
Description: partial 16S ribosomal RNA
Rfam family: Bacterial small subunit ribosomal RNA
Source: RNAcentral